This 465-nucleotide ribosomal RNA is filed under the name uncultured bacterium. RNAcentral describes it as "partial 16S ribosomal RNA". It matches the Rfam family "Bacterial small subunit ribosomal RNA", at positions 28 to 507 of the family's 1533-position model. The record is from RNAcentral.
GACGAACGCUGGCGGCGUGCUUAACACAUGCAAGUCGAACGGAGAGGCCCUGCUUGCAGGGUACUCGAGUGGCGAACGGGUGAGUAACACGUGGGUGAUCUGCCCUGCACUUCGGGAUAAGCCUGGGCAACUGGGUCUAAUACCGGAUAUGACCUUCCAUGUAGUGUGGGGGGUGGAAAGAUUUAUCGGUGUGGGAUGAGCCCGCGGCCUAUGAGCUUGUUGGUGGGGUAAUGGCCUACCAAGGCGUCGACGGAUAGCCGGCCUGAGAGGGUGGACGGCCACAUUGGGACUGAGAUACGGCCCAGACGCCUACGGGAGGCAGCAGUGGGGAAUAUUGCACAAUGGGCGGAAGCCUGAUGCAGCGACGCCGCGUGGGGGAUGACGGCCUUCGGGUUGUAAACCUCUUUCGACAGGGACGAAGCUUCGGUGACGGUACCUGUAUAAGAAGCACCGGCUAACUACGUG